GAUGAACGCUAGCUACAGGCUUAACACAUGCAAGUCGAGGGGAAACGACAUCGAAAGCUUGCUUUUGAUGGGCGUCGACCGGCGCACGGGUGAGUAACGCGUAUCCAACCUGCCCACCACUUGGGAAUAACCUUGCGAAAGUAAGACUAAUACCCAAUGAUAUCCCACGAAGGCAUCCGAAUGGGAUUAAAGAUUUAUCGGCGAUGGAUGGGGAUGCGUCUGAUUAGCUUGUUGGCGGGGUAACGGCCCACCAAGGCGACGAUCAGUAGGGGUUCUGAGAGGAAGGUCCCCCACAUUGGAACUGAGACACGGUCCAAACUCCUACGGGAGGCAGCAGUGAGGAAUAUUGGUCAAUGGGCGAGAGCCUGAACCAGCCAAGUAGCGUGCAGGAUGACGGCCCUAUGGGUUGUAAACUGCUUUUAUAAGGGAAUAAAGUGAGUCUCGUGAGACUUUUUGCAUGUACCUUAUGAAUAAGGACCGGCUAAUUCCGUGCCAGCCGCCGCCGUAA
RNAcentral lists this ribosomal RNA (508 nucleotides) under uncultured bacterium. RNAcentral describes it as "partial 16S ribosomal RNA". It matches the Rfam family "Bacterial small subunit ribosomal RNA", at positions 28 to 523 of the family's 1533-position model. The record is from RNAcentral.